GCGCCCAUCGUCUAGCGGUUAGGACGUCGCCCUUUCACGGCGAAAACAGGGGUUCGAUUCCCCUUGGGCGUACCA
This 75-nucleotide transfer RNA is filed under the name Aureimonas populi. Its description in RNAcentral is "tRNA-Glu". It matches the Rfam family "tRNA". From Rfam's summary of the family: Transfer RNA (tRNA) molecules are approximately 80 nucleotides in length. Their secondary structure includes four short double-helical elements and three loops (D, anti-codon, and T loops). Further hydrogen bonds mediate the characteristic L-shaped molecular structure. tRNAs have two regions of fundamental functional importance: the anti-codon, which is responsible for specific mRNA codon recognition, and the 3' end, to which the tRNAs corresponding amino acid is attached (by aminoacyl-tRNA synthetases). tRNAs cope with the degeneracy of the genetic code in two manners: having more than one tRNA (with a specific anti-codon) for a particular amino acid; and 'wobble' base-pairing, i.e. permitting non-standard base-pairing at the 3rd anti-codon position. Lineage: Bacteria; Pseudomonadati; Pseudomonadota; Alphaproteobacteria; Hyphomicrobiales; Aurantimonadaceae. The record is from RNAcentral. RNAcentral also lists the same sequence under 7 other names.